Non-coding RNA from Triticum aestivum (bread wheat), 115 nucleotides. NCBI's taxonomy places the organism in Eukaryota, Viridiplantae, Streptophyta, Magnoliopsida, Poales, Poaceae. The record is from Rfam.
AUAGUACUUCCUCCGUUUCGAAUUACUUGUCGCAGGUAUGGAUGUAUCUAGAUAUACUCUAGUUCUAGAUACGUCCAUUUCUGCGACGAGUAAUUUGAAACAGAGGGAGUAGUUC